GACGAACGCUGGCGGCGUGCUUAACACAUGCAAGUCGAACGGAAGGGCCCUGCUUUUGUGGGGUGCUCGAGUGGCGCGCGGGUGAGUAACCCGUGAGUCACCUUCCCUUGACUUUGGGAUAACUUCAGGAAACUGGGGCUAAUACCUGCUAGGAGCGCCUGCUGCAUGGUGGGGGUUGGAAAUUUUCGGCGGUUGGGGAUGUACGCGCGGCUUAUCAGCUUGUUGGUGGGGUAGUGGCUUACCAAGGCGUGGACGGGUAGCCGGACUGGGAGUGUGACCCGGCACAGAGGCACAGGGGUACGACCCAUACGCCUACGUGAGGCAGGAGUGAGGAAUAGUGCACAAUGGGCGGAAUGCGGAUGGAGCAUCUUCGCGUGCGGGAGGACGGUCAGCGGGUAGGAAGCCGCUUUCGCUUGUGACGAAGCGUGAGUGAGGGUAAUGGGUAAAGAAGCACCGCCUACCUACGG
Molecule: ribosomal RNA, 467 nt
Filed under: uncultured bacterium
Lineage: Bacteria
Description: partial 16S ribosomal RNA
Rfam family: Bacterial small subunit ribosomal RNA
Source: RNAcentral